GACGAACGCUGGCGGCGUGCUUAACACAUGCAAGUCGAACGAUGAAGUGGAGCUUGCUCCACGGAUUAGUGGCGAACGGGUGAGGAACACGUGAGAAACCUGCCUCGGAUUUUGGGAUAACAAAUGGAAACGUUUGCUAAUACCAAAUAACGUCGGAGAGUCACAUGACUUUCUGACGAAAGGAAUUCCGAUUCGAGAGGGUCUCGCGGCCUAUCAGCUUGUUGGCGGGGUAAUGGCCCACCAAGGCAACGACGGGUAGCUGGUCUGAGAGGAUGGUCAGCCACACUGGGACUGAGACACGGCCCAGACUCCUACGGGAGGCAGCAGUGGGGAAUCUUGCGCAAUGGGCGAAAGCCUGACGCAGCAACGCCGCGUGCGGGAAGAAGGCUUUCGGGCUGUAAACCGCUUUCAGCAGGAACGAAAAUGACGGUACCUGCAGAAGAAGGAGCGGCCAACUAUGU
Molecule: ribosomal RNA, 461 nt
Filed under: uncultured Actinomycetes bacterium
Lineage: Bacteria; Bacillati; Actinomycetota; Actinomycetes
Description: bacterial SSU rRNA
Rfam family: Bacterial small subunit ribosomal RNA
Source: RNAcentral